Molecule: non-coding RNA, 234 nt
Filed under: Bacillus licheniformis
Lineage: Bacteria; Bacillati; Bacillota; Bacilli; Caryophanales; Bacillaceae
Also listed under: 1 other name
Description: T-box sequence
Rfam family: T-box leader
About the family: Uncharged tRNA acts as the effector for transcription antitermination of genes in the T-box leader family. T-boxes are found upstream of many aminoacyl-tRNA synthetase genes and some amino acid biosynthetic genes usually in Gram-positive bacteria.
Source: RNAcentral
UCACCCGCUUUGAAUGGGAAGAGUACAAAAACAGACGCUUGCAGAGAGGGAAGCCGGUUCGCUGAAAGGCUCCCAGUCAGUCUUUUUUGGAAGGUCGCCCAGGAGCGCAAUUUCUCGAACAAAAAAGUAGAGAAAUUCGGGAAAGUCCCGUUAUCCCAUUUAAGUGCGUGAAUGCGUUUUUUUUGCAUUCAUGAAAAAAGGUGGUACCGCGAGAGAGUUCUCUUCGUCCUUUUA